RNAcentral lists this ribosomal RNA (253 nucleotides) under uncultured bacterium. RNAcentral's name for it is "partial 16S ribosomal RNA". It matches the Rfam family "Bacterial small subunit ribosomal RNA", at positions 524 to 776 of the family's 1533-position model. The record is from RNAcentral.
UACGUAGGGUGCGAGCGUUAAUCGGAAUUACUGGGCGUAAAGCGUGCGCAGGCGGUUCGUUAAGUCAGAUGUGAAAGCCCCGGGCUCAACCUGGGAACUGCAUUUGAAACUGGCGGGCUUGAGUGUGGCAGAGGGGGGUGGAAUUCCGCGUGUAGCAGUGAAAUGCGUAGAGAUGCGGAGGAGCACCGAUGGCGAAGGCAGCCCCCUGGGCUAGCACUGACGCUCAGGCACGAAAGCGUGGGGAGCAAACAGG